This is an RNA transcript of Labeo rohita (rohu), 3834 nucleotides long. RefSeq lists it as uncharacterized. The record is from RefSeq and is a predicted model, not a curated record. NCBI's taxonomy places the organism in Eukaryota, Metazoa, Chordata, Actinopteri, Cypriniformes, Cyprinidae. The transcript is spliced from 3 exons.
GAUGUUCAAUUAAAUGUUUUGUUCUACAUCACUAAACAAUUAAAUCUCAAAAUACAAUGUGAAAUAUUUUCCCCAAAUAUUAAGAAUACAAUAAGUUAUUGAAGAAAAGAAACAGAAAAUUAUCUGACUAAACAUUCAGUUUUGGCAGAUUUGAUUGUGGUUUCAUAGUGAAUCAGUAUGUUCAAAUAUGUGGAUAAAUAAGUGUCUCAUAACUAUAACUAUCAGAUAUUUCCCCUGUCUAUAUUGUAGUAUGAUUGUAUCAGUGGCAUUUUAGCUGGUUUAAGAUGGAAGUAGCUGGAAGUAGCUGGUUUUAGCUGGUCUCCCAGCCUAACCAAGCUGGUGUCCAUUUGACCUAAUUACAUAUUAAUCGGUUUGUUUCACUUACUGACCAGGUUCAAUUCAAGGUAAGUUUAGUAUCAUAAUCAGGUAGGUUAGAUGAUACAGCUUAAAUUAUUCCAGUUGUUAACGAUAAUAUAUCUGAGAAGAGUCUAAAACAAAAUUAUUAAAGUGGUUUCACAAAUAAAUUCUAGUAUAUCAUAGUAUAUCAUAAAAUCAAGUAUAUCAUAAAAUCAAGCUAGCGCUCAAAAUAUCAGCAUAGAACUCAAAUCAGAUUAAAUUAUUGUCUGAAGAAAUACAUUCACCAUAGUUGUAUGACCAAAUAUAGUGUUGUGGUAUUGAAUAGACUUUUACACAAAAUAGAAAUGAAACAAACACAACGUCUUUAUAUAAUAAAUAAUCACCUGCAAUUAAAAAAACACUAGAAGAAAACAAAAACAAUAUCUUUAACAAGAAAUGCUUAAAGCAUAAUCUGAUCAUGUGGGUCACGAUUCAGGCAGGAACAGACGAACAACGACGUAGUGAAACGAACAGUCUUUAAUAAUCCACAAGGAAACACGGGAAACUCGGAAAACACAGGAACACAGGGUGGUAACAUUAAGGUCUGACAACAGAGGAGGGUAAUCACACACAUUAAAUAGACAGACUGAUUAACACACCAGGUGCAGACAAUGAGGGAGAGACCAAAACACACAGAGCUGCAGGGGGAAUUGAUGGGAGAAACCAACUAAACAGUCCAGGGGUGUGACACACGUGUGUUACAGAGUGAGUGAAACGGGAGGCGAGCGGAUCCAUCUGCAAGCUUUUAUUAAUGGGACGAGGCAGAGACAUGGUCAAACAGGCAGGGUCGUAACGACAACAAACAGGUAUGCAAGGGCUACGCACAAUAGAAGUCCGUGAGACAGGCGUGGGUCGAUCAGUGGCGAACUUAAUCCAAGACGUGAGAAAGACGAGUAAUCCUUAACGAGCAAGAGUCCAGAAGGCAGGUGGCGAGACAGUCAAGACGAGAUGGCCAGGCGAGGGAAAUAAACACAGGGAAACUAGGAAACUAGGAACGCUAACAAUGAAAACAACAACAAUGCACCGUGGCUUGCAUGGGGAAAGACCGGGGCUUUUAUAGCGCGCCUGAUUGGUCCCAGGUGCUGACCCAGUCAGCGCGCUGCAUGACGGGAGAUGUAGUCCGGGGUGUGGUGCAACAGUCUGAGUGUGAGGAUAAGGUAAGAGCGACAUCUGGUGGUGAGCGGUCCACAGCUCACCGACCAGAUCCGUAACAACGUGGUGGUUUGACGCAAAAGUACAGCAUAAUGCUGUAAAUUUCAAAUCUACAGAGGCGGCAUUUUCUUCAACGGUCACAUUAAGGAGCAGCAAUAAGUACGAUUCACAACUGCGGUAAGUGAUUUAUUUCACUUUUUAUUGCUCAUGUUUGGUAACUGCAGUAGUAUAUUGGUGUCUACUUUUGUGGAAACCGCAGAUUAACGAAUCCUCUGUCCGCAGGGCGUGAGGGAGACUUGUGCCGGGUUUAAGGAGCGCGGUCGCGGGUGAAUUUCACACAUUCCCCACCCUCAUAGUGGCUAUAGGCAGAAAAUCUCUGGGUUCCAACAGUAAUAAUUACACACUUCAUUGACAACAGUUGUGAUUUACGGGAACGUCAUGUUGUUCAGCACACUUUCUCAUGAUUAUUUUAUGAUGUAAAUCAAAUUUGCACAAGCAGUCAUCUGUUAACAGGGGCGCCGAAAUGAAACGCAUGACGUUACUUAAAGGGGUCAUCGGAUGCUAAGUUCACUUUUUCAUGUUGUUUGAACAUUAAUGUGUGUUGGCAGUGUAUGUACAAAUCUACCCUAUAAUGAUAAAAAUCCAUACAGCGGUUUUUAAUUAAUCUGUAAAAAUAAUAUUCCCUUUUUUAAAAAGAGUCAUUCUCAGAUGUCUGUCUGUGUGGCGUCACACUCACAGAGGCCGCUCCCACGAUAGUUGAUUAACAUGAGCGAUUUACCUCAAAUCAGCUGUAACAGUCCGCCCUUUUUGUUUCGAUGCCGGAGCAGGGAUGUAAGUUAGACAAGAAUAUCUCUGAUUGAGUGAUUGAGGUGUUGUGUUGCUGGAUGUAAUAAUGAACAUAGUGGUCGUCAUUUACUCCCGAUAUCUGAGCCGCUGAAGAUGCACUAGAUUAUGUUUGUUUGUGAAGGGAAUGCACCUCCCAAUCUACAUAUAUCCGUCUAUGUUCGCGCGAAUCAUUCAUGGUCCAGUUUCAUUUACAGCAAAAGUGAGUAUAAGGGGUUUUUUAUGAAUCUUUCUGAUCGCCUUUCUUUAUAACGUGGUAGUUAGGAAGUUUAGCGGCUAAACGCGGCUACAUGCAGCUAAUGUAAACAAGACCAUCUUUUCACAGAGAGAAGAGAGGGGCGGGGUGAGCAAAGCUCAUUUGCAUUUAAAGGAACAGCCCCUUAGAAUGAGAUGAUUUUUGCAGAGCUCAUUUUGACAAGGUAAAAAGGGUGUUGUUUUACAAAACCAUUAAGAAUUUUUAAUCAAAGUAUAUUAGAGACUUUUCAUUAAGACCCUAAAGAAUCAUAUCAACUUGUGGAAAAUGGGCAUCCGAUGACCCCUUUAAGUCUUGCAACUCGCGGUCAUCCCGCUCACGGAGGAUGUAAACUGUCACGUAAACUCUGAAGGGUGCUGUUAAAGCGGUUUAACGUAAGCAGCGAGAUGUGCGAGAACCUUUGAUAACUUGCUAAUUCGCUUAUUGUUUGAUUGUAAUGCUUUUGUUAGCUUUGUUUUAAAGAAUGAGUUAAACCAAAAUGUUAACCAAAUUUUCCUGCCUGGACUUUUCGGAGCAUAUAUUCACUCUGGAGUAACCUUACCAGGAGACAGACAGAGAUUUGGAGUUCAUUCAAAGAUAUUUAAGAGGAACAAAGAAGUCGAAAGGUGUUACAAUCACCAGGUGGAUCCACACCUCAGCCCUCUCAGUCGUCCAUCGUUACAAAAGGAAAAGUGCCAUCUAAAACAACAGGGCAAAUGGUACAGAAGAAACCGGUUGAAGUGAACCCAAGUUGCCACUCUUCUUUGCAAAGUGAAGGAUUUUCAGCAGAAUUUCUGAAAUUCUAUUUCAGUGACUGGUGGAAACAAAAGGAGCCUGAAAGAAGAGAGAGAGAGAAGAGGGAGAAACAAGUGGGGCAUUACAUAUCCCCAAAAAAUGCAAGAUAUAAUAAAAAAGAAAAGAAAAAUGAAAAUGCAUAAUAUGUUUAGAAUUCUGUUAUUGUUCAUAUUCACCAUUAAUUGUUAAUAUAGUUUUAGAAUUGUAAUCGUUCCAAUUAUUUUGUAAAUAUUUUGUAAAUAUUUGUUAGAAUAUAAUUUUUUAAAGGGGCUGUAAGAUCAAAUAAAAAUUGUUUUAAUGGUUCCUUGUGGUCCUGCAGACCAUUAAAAGUAAACUUGGAAUUAUUUUUAUUAUUUGUUGCAACACCCCUUGACAGGAAAAUUGGGGCAGACACUAUGUAAUCAAUCAAUCAAUCA